GACGAACGCUGGCGGCGUGCUUAACACAUGCAAGUCGAACGGAAAGGCCCUGCUUUUGUGGGGUGCUCGAGUGGCGAACGGGUGAGUAACACGUGAGUAACCUGCCCUUGACUUUGGGAUAACUUCAGGAAACUGGGGCUAAUACCGGAUAGGAGCUCCUGCUGCAUGGUGGGGGUUGGAAAGUUUCGGCGGUUGGGGAUGGACUCGCGGCUUAUCGGCUUGUUGGUGGGGUAGUGGCUUACCAAGGCUUUGCCGGGUAGCCGGCCUGAGGGGGUGACCGGCCCCAUUGGGACUGAGAUACGGCCCAGACUCCUCCGGGAGGCAGCAGUGGGGAAUAUUGCACAAUAGGCGGAAGCCUGAUGCAGCCCCGCCGCGUGCGGGAUGACGGCCUUCGGGUUGUAAACCGCUUUCGCCUGUGACGAAGCGUGAGUGACGGUAAUGGGUAAAGAAGCACCGGCUAACUACGUG
This 468-nucleotide ribosomal RNA is filed under the name uncultured bacterium. RNAcentral describes it as "partial 16S ribosomal RNA". It matches the Rfam family "Bacterial small subunit ribosomal RNA", at positions 28 to 507 of the family's 1533-position model. The record is from RNAcentral.